RNAcentral lists this ribosomal RNA (266 nucleotides) under uncultured bacterium. Its description in RNAcentral is "partial 16S ribosomal RNA". It matches the Rfam family "Bacterial small subunit ribosomal RNA", at positions 88 to 354 of the family's 1533-position model. The record is from RNAcentral.
CAUUCGGGUGGCGGACGGGUGAGUAACGCGUGGGUAACCUGCCUUACACAGGGGGAUAACACCUGGAAACAGGUGCUAAUACCGCAUAAGCGCACAGGGCCGCAUGGCCCGGUGUGAAAAACUCCGGUGGUGUAAGAUGGACCCGCGUCUGAUUAGCUUGUUGGCGGGGUAGGGGCCCACCAAGGCGACGAUCAGUAGCCGGCCUGAGAGGGUGGACGGCCACAUUGGGACUGAGACACGGCCCAAACUCCUACGGAAGGCAGCAG